AGACUCGCUUGAUUAGUAAAUUAGUAAAAUACAAUAAUAAGAAAUUUGCAAGCAAAGGCAAAGUGACGUGGAUGUAUAGUGUGUUUGAAAAUAAAAAAAUAUAGAACUACAUUUUAUCAAUUUCGGUCCGUUUAAAGUCUCCCUCUCCAUCUCCUCGAAAAAUUAUGCCUAAAUUGCUUCAAUGUCUGCGAAAAUUGCUAAAUAUCAGGUUCCUAAUUGUCUUUUGAAAUGGUCACUAGUAACCCUUUCUUUGGCAAUGAUUAUCAUAGUGUUGUCCUGAUUCAACAUUCUUCGCCAUGCAAUUAGUCUCAAAUGAUAGUAAUAGGGAAGAUAUUUCAGAAAGCGAACCCAUCCUACCUCGAACCAGCAUUUUGCAAAGAUCUGAAGAAUCUUCAUCUUCAUGCGAGAUUACAGCCGUGGGAGGGGAAUGCGCUAUUGGUGACUUACAAAGUCUUCAUCUUGAGGAAAGUUGUCAUCUGGUGAAUACGGACCAACCACAAUGCCGUAUAUGCCUUGAUAAUGGAGGAGAAGACUUAAUUGCACCAUGCCAUUGCAAGGGCACCCAGAAAUAUGUUCAUAGAUCUUGUCUUGAUAAUUGGAGGUCAACUAAGGAGGGCUUUGCUUUUGCUCACUGUACAGAGUGUAGGGCUAUGUUCAUAUUACGAGCAAAUGUCCCACCUGAUCGCUGGUGGUUGAGAUUGAAAUUCCAGUUUCUUGUUGCUAGGGAUCAUCUGUUCAUUUUUAUAAUUGUCCAGAUGAUUGUGGCUUUAUUGGGGGUACUUGUAUACAAGUUUUAUGGAGAUGAACUUAGGGAAAUGUUUGGAUAUGAAGAACACCCAUAUGGAUUUUAUGCAAUGGCUGUUUUAGCCAUCAUUUUGGUGGGUUUGCUCUAUGGUUUCUUCAUAGCUAUAAUAUGCGGUCAGAGGAUCAAUCAACGCCAUUACCAUGUUCUUGCCAAACAAGAACUAACAAAGGAGUAUGUGGUAGAAGACCGAGAAGAGAAUACAAAUGUCCCUGAACUCGACCCUAGCCAUGUGACAGAGCUCAAGAUGUUGGGUCUCUAUUAACUUGAAAGUCUGUACCCCUGCUUAAUUUCUGGAAUAUUGCUGGAAGUGUUAAGAAAAGCAAUUGGUGGGAGUUGAGGGCUCUAAAAGAGUUGGGUGUAGAGAGGGCAGCUAUAGAUGAUUGCGGAAUUGAAGCCUGUAAAGUAAAAUUUUCUGGAAAAGUGAUAUAUGGUAAAACUUUCGAUGUUGCCACCAACUGAAAAGAAUCCACAAUAAAACUUAGGAAUUGCUGAAACUGACUUGAUUGAAAAGCAUCCACUUCAAGAUCAACUUCAGAAAGAAUGCCAAUUUACAAACUACAGCGAGAAAGGGGUCUUAAAACGAUUGAAAGCAAUGAAACCCAGAGAGUAAACAAAGUAAAUGCCAUCUGUCUCGUUAUCUCUUACACACACACGCACAUCUCGUUUUAUUGUUAUUUUCUUCUUAAAGAUACAUGUAUUAUUACGUGUACAUGUAAAUUUGACAUCCCUUGUGUUGUAGUUUUUAUUUUAUUUUAUUUUAUUUUAACCAAUGCAAGCUAUAGAUUGUCGUACAGCUUGGAUUCAACCUAAAUUUUGUUCUUCGUAUAUUUUUCAAAGAAUUUCUUUCAUA
Carya illinoinensis is the source of this 1655-nucleotide RNA transcript. It is a transcript of the gene named E3 ubiquitin-protein ligase MARCHF3, with no coding region annotated. NCBI's taxonomy places the organism in Eukaryota, Viridiplantae, Streptophyta, Magnoliopsida, Fagales, Juglandaceae. The record is from RefSeq and is a predicted model, not a curated record. The transcript is spliced from 9 exons.